RNAcentral lists this long non-coding RNA (331 nucleotides) under Elaeis guineensis (African oil palm). RNAcentral's name for it is "long non-coding RNA (EGUI_LNC074476)". Lineage: Eukaryota; Viridiplantae; Streptophyta; Magnoliopsida; Arecales; Arecaceae. The record is from RNAcentral.
AGCCGGUAGCACAGGAACCAAUUCCUGUACUAAUCAAAGUGACCAUCUAGCAAUGGUACCCAACGACCGGAUAGGUCGAAUGGUCGCAAUCACAACACUCAAAAUCUACAUGAAUAUGGUUACUGUAUAAUUCAUCCUUUUGACCUCUGUGUUUAGGACGACUCAGGGUUAAACUGUCAACCCUGAUCAGAUCAUCCGAAUCGUGCUCAACUCAAACAGUCCUGUGACUCCUUAUAAGGACUACCCUGGCUAAGGUUUUGCUAAAUUGAAAUAUGACUAUACACAGCUCCUAAACUGGAGUGGUCAAUCCCAUCUUGGCACAUGCACCGAU